RNAcentral lists this unclassified non-coding RNA (287 nucleotides) under uncultured fungus. RNAcentral's name for it is "sequence contains ITS1". The stretch from base 1 to 103 matches the Rfam family "5.8S ribosomal RNA", at positions 50 to 154 of the family's 154-position model. Lineage: Eukaryota; Fungi. The record is from RNAcentral.
CAAACGCGAAAUGUGUUAUGACAUGCAAUCUUUGAGAAUCAUGAAAUCUUUGAACGCACCUUGUACCCGAGGCACCGUCUUGGGUGUGUUUGUUUGAGCAUCGUAAAGCACUCACCCACGAGGUGGCGAUGAGCAAAUGAAUGUAAAAAUUCGUUGCUUUAAAGGGAUGAGCCGCGGUCACGUGAUGCGUCUUGGGAUAAUUCCAUCUGGACACGCACGUAGCCGGCCUCACAACCAUACUUUUUCAACGCGAUCUCAAAUCAAACAGGAUGACCCGCUGAACUUAA